RNAcentral lists this ribosomal RNA (253 nucleotides) under uncultured bacterium. RNAcentral's name for it is "partial 16S ribosomal RNA". It matches the Rfam family "Bacterial small subunit ribosomal RNA", at positions 524 to 776 of the family's 1533-position model. The record is from RNAcentral.
UACGUAGGGUGCAAGCGUUGUCCGGAAUUACUGGGCGUAAAGAGCUCGUAGGCGGUCUGUCGCGUCUGGUGUGAAAAUCCAGGGCUUAACCCUGGACCUGCAUCGGGUACGGGCAGACUAGAGUGCGGUAGGGGAGAUCGGAAUUCCUGGUGUAGCGGUGAAAUGCGCAGAUAUCAGGAGGAACACCGGUGGCGAAGGCGGCGACCUGGUCCGAUACUGACGCUGAGGCGCGAAAGCGUGGGGAGCAAACAGG